RNAcentral lists this ribosomal RNA (490 nucleotides) under uncultured bacterium. RNAcentral's name for it is "partial 16S ribosomal RNA". It matches the Rfam family "Bacterial small subunit ribosomal RNA", at positions 30 to 507 of the family's 1533-position model. The record is from RNAcentral.
AUUGAACGCUGGCGGCAGGCCUAACACAUGCAAGUCGAACGGUAACAGAAAGCAGCUUGCUGCUUUGCUGACGAGUGGCGGACGGGUGAGUAAUGUCUGGGAAACUGCCUGAUGGAGGGGGAUAACUACUGGAAACGGUAGCUAAUACCGCAUAACGUCGCAAGACCAAAGAGGGGGACCUUCGGGCCUCUUGCCAUCGGAUGUGCCCAGAUGGGAUUAGCUAGUAGGUGGGGUAACGGCUCACCUAGGCGACGAUCCCUAGCUGGUCUGAGAGGAUGACCAGCCACACUGGAACUGAGACACGGUCCAGACUCCUACGGGAGGCAGCAGUGGGGAAUAUUGCACAAUGGGCGCAAGCCUGAUGCAGCCAUGCCGCGUGUAUGAAGAAGGCCUUCGGGUUGUAAAGUACUUUCAGCGGGGAGGAAGGGAAUAAAGUUAAUACCUGUGCUCAUUGACGUUACCCGCAGAAGAAGCACCGGCUAACUCCGUG